CAGCCGCCACGGUAAUACGUAGGUGGCAAGCGUUGUCCGGAAUUAUUGGGCGUAAAGGGCUCGCAGGCGGUUUCUUAAGUCUGAUGUGAAAGCCCCCGGCUCAACCGGGGAGGGUCAUUGGAAACUGGGAAACUUGAGUGCAGAAGAGGAGAGUGGAAUUCCACGUGUAGCGGCGAAAUGCAUAGAGAUGUGGAGGAACACCAGUGGCGAAGGCGGCUCACUGGACCGACACUGACGCUGAGGCGCGAAAGCGUGGGGAGCAAACAGGAUUAGAUACCCCCGUAGUCCCUGUCUCUUAUAC
Molecule: ribosomal RNA, 301 nt
Filed under: uncultured bacterium
Lineage: Bacteria
Description: partial 16S ribosomal RNA
Rfam family: Bacterial small subunit ribosomal RNA
Source: RNAcentral